Molecule: ribosomal RNA, 2670 nt
Filed under: Escherichia coli
Lineage: Bacteria; Pseudomonadati; Pseudomonadota; Gammaproteobacteria; Enterobacterales; Enterobacteriaceae
Description: partial 23S ribosomal RNA
Rfam family: Bacterial large subunit ribosomal RNA
Source: RNAcentral
GACGUGCUAAUCUGCGAUAAGCGUCGGUAAGGUGAUAUGAACCGUUAUAACCGGCGAUUUCCGAAUGGGGAAACCCAGUGUGAUUCGUCACACUAUCAUUAACUGAAUCCAUAGGUUAAUGAGGCGAACCGGGGGAACUGAAACAUCUAAGUACCCCGAGGAAAAGAAAUCAACCGAGAUUCCCCCAGUAGCGGCGAGCGAACGGGGAGCAGCCCAGAGCCUGAAUCAGUGUGUGUGUUAGUGGAAGCGUCUGGAAAGGCGUGCGAUACAGGGUGACAGCCCCGUACACAAAAAUGCACAUACUGUGAGCUCGAUGAGUAGGGCGGGACACGUGGUAUCCUGUCUGAAUAUGGGGGGACCAUCCUCCAAGGCUAAAUACUCCUGACUGACCGAUAGUGAACCAGUACCGUGAGGGAAAGGCGAAAAGAACCCCGGCGAGGGGAGUGAAAAAGAACCUGAAACCGUGUACGUACAAGCAGUGGGAGCACGCUUAGGCGUGUGACUGCGUACCUUUUGUAUAAUGGGUCAGCGACUUAUAUUCUGUAGCAAGGUUAACCGAAUAGGGGAGCCGAAGGGAAACCGAGUCUUAACUGGGCGUUAAGUUGCAGGGUAUAGACCCGAAACCCGGUGAUCUAGCCAUGGGCAGGUUGAAGGUUGGGUAACACUAACUGGAGGACCGAACCGACUAAUGUUGAAAAAUUAGCGGAUGACUUGUGGCUGGGGGUGAAAGGCCAAUCAAACCGGGAGAUAGCUGGUUCUCCCCGAAAGCUAUUUAGGUAGCGCCUCGUGAAUUCAUCUCCGGGGGUAGAGCACUGUUUCGGCAAGGGGGUCAUCCCGACUUACCAACCCGAUGCAAACUGCGAAUACCGGAGAAUGUUAUUACGGGAGACACACGGCGGGUGCUAACGUCCGUCGUGAAGAGGGAAACAACCCAGACCGCCAGCUAAGGUCCCAAAGUCAUGGUUAAGUGGGAAACGAUGUGGGAAGGCCCAGACAGCCAGGAUGUUGGCUUAGAAGCAGCCAUCAUUUAAAGAAAGCGUAAUAGCUCACUGGUCGAGUCGGCCUGCGCGGAAGAUGUAACGGGGCUAAACCAUGCACCGAAGCUGCGGCAGCGACGCUUAUGCGUUGUUGGGUAGGGGAGCGUUCUGUAAGCCUGUGAAGGUGUGCUGUGAGGUAUGCUGGAGGUAUCAGAAGUGCGAAUGCUGACAUAAGUAACGAUAAAGCGGGUGAAAAGCCCGCUCGCCGGAAGACCAAGGGUUCCUGUCCAACGUUAAUCGGGGCAGGGUGAGUCGACCCCUAAGGCGAGGCCGAAAGGCGUAGUCGAUGGGAAACAGGUUAAUAUUCCUGUACUUGGUGUUACUGCGAAGGGGGGACGGAGAAGGCUAUGUUGGCCGGGCGACGGUUGUCCCGGUUUAAGCGUGUAGGCUGGUUUUCCAGGCAAAUCCGGAAAAUCAAGGCCGAGGCGUGAUGACGAGGCACUACGGUGCUGAAGCAACAAAUGCCCUGCUUCCAGGAAAAGCCUCUAAGCAUCAGGUAACAUCAAAUCGUACCCCAAACCGACACAGGUGGUCAGGUAGAGAAUACCAAGGCGCUUGAGAGAACUCGGGUGAAGGAACUAGGCAAAAUGGUGCCGUAACUUCGGGAGAAGGCACGCUGAUACGUAGGUGAAGCGACUUGCUCGUGGAGCUGAAAUCAGUCGAAGAUACCAGCUGGCUGCAACUGUUUAUUAAAAACACAGCACUGUGCAAACACGAAAGUGGACGUAUACGGUGUGACGCCUGCCCGGUGCCGGAAGGUUAAUUGAUGGGGUUAGCGCAAGCGAAGCUCUUGAUCGAAGCCCCGGUAAACGGCGGCCGUAACUAUAACGGUCCUAAGGUAGCGAAAUUCCUUGUCGGGUAAGUUCCGACCUGCACGAAUGGCGUAAUGAUGGCCAGGCUGUCUCCACCCGAGACUCAGUGAAAUUGAACUCGCUGUGAAGAUGCAGUGUACCCGCGGCAAGACGGAAAGACCCCGUGAACCUUUACUAUAGCUUGACACUGAACAUUGAGCCUUGAUGUGUAGGAUAGGUGGGAGGCUUUGAAGUGUGGACGCCAGUCUGCAUGGAGCCGACCUUGAAAUACCACCCUUUAAUGUUUGAUGUUCUAACGUGGACCCGUGAUCCGGGUUGCGGACAGUGUCUGGUGGGUAGUUUGACUGGGGCGGUCUCCUCCUAAAGAGUAACGGAGGAGCACGAAGGUUGGCUAAUCCUGGUCGGACAUCAGGAGGUUAGUGCAAUGGCAUAAGCCAGCUUGACUGCGAGCGUGACGGCGCGAGCAGGUGCGAAAGCAGGUCAUAGUGAUCCGGUGGUUCUGAAUGGAAGGGCCAUCGCUCAACGGAUAAAAGGUACUCCGGGGAUAACAGGCUGAUACCGCCCAAGAGUUCAUAUCGACGGCGGUGUUUGGCACCUCGAUGUCGGCUCAUCACAUCCUGGGGCUGAAGUAGGUCCCAAGGGUAUGGCUGUUCGCCAUUUAAAGUGGUACGCGAGCUGGGUUUAGAACGUCGUGAGACAGUUCGGUCCCUAUCUGCCGUGGGCGCUGGAGAACUGAGGGGGGCUGCUCCUAGUACGAGAGGACCGGAGUGGACGCAUCACUGGUGUUCGGGUUGUCAUGCCAAUGGCACUGCCCGGUAGCU